CUCUCUAUUGCUGUAGUGGAAGAUGAGGCUGAUGACAGCAGUGAGGAUGAUGGACACCAGGCUGACACACAGACAGAGCACCCAGAAGCUUGCUGUGCUGCUUUGAAGGUACAUGUGAAGGGUUGAAUACACAGCGCACCACAGCACCAUGUACAAAAUCGGUGCCAUGAUGAAAUUAAAAACAUAUGAGUUGAAAAGCAGAUAUCUUCUGACGGACGGAUGGUCCAGCGCUAAUUCAAGUGGACCCUCAAAAUUAUCUGCUGGGAUCUGGAAGCCUUUUGUUUCCAGAAGAGUCCUGCAGCGUGAGAAGUCAAAUUUAGGAGUGAACCAGGAGGACGUGGGGACUGAUGCCACACACUGACCGUUCCUCCAUGUGGAUGAUGUGCCUGGUUCUCCUGCUGUGCGUGACUGUCCUGUGGGGGAUUUGCCAUCAGAUUUUUCCUCUCUGUUACACUGCCGCUCCCUCUCCUCCAUGGUGACGGCCACUGUCAGAGCCUGCUGUGGUUCGGGCCCAGCUUGUUUCAGUUGAUGAUUUCGGCACAGUUCACUGUCUGCUAGCAAAACGACAGCAUUCACAGCUGACUGCAGCCAAUCUUAGCUUUACUAAACAUCAAACACACUUUCCUCCAGAAUAUAGUAGUGUGUAUGUGACAGCAGGUCCAUCUCUUCAUUUCUGUCAUUGUGUGUCUCUCUCAGGUCCUUCUCAGUCAUGUCUGCAGUUGCCACUACCUUCUAAACUCCUCCCACUGCUUUAGCUCUCAUUUUUUAAGCCCUUCAUUGCCAUUUAUCGGGGGUUUCUCUUCAUUUUAAGGUAAGACUCUUCUUGUG
Molecule: non-coding RNA, 828 nt
Organism: Danio rerio (zebrafish)
Lineage: Eukaryota; Metazoa; Chordata; Actinopteri; Cypriniformes; Danionidae
Source: Ensembl